AACGAACGCUGGCGGCAUGCCUAACACAUGCAAGUCGAACGAGACCUUCGGGUCUAGUGGCGCACGGGUGCGUAACGCGUGGGAACCUGCCCUUAGGUUCGGAAUAACUCCCCGAAAGGGGUGCUAAUACCGGAUAAUGUCUUCGGACCAAAGAUUUAUCGCCUUUGGAUGGGCCCGCGUUGGAUUAGCUAGUUGGUAGGGUAAAAGCCUACCAAGGCGACGAUCCAUAGCUGGUCUGAGAGGAUGAUCAGCCACACUGGGACUGAGACACGGCCCAGACUCCUACGGGAGGCAGCAGUGGGGAAUAUUGGACAAUGGGCGAAAGCCUGAUCCAGCAAUGCCGCGUGAGUUAUGAAAGCCUUAGGGUUGUAAAGCUCUUUUACCCGGGAUGAUAAUGACAGGACCGGGAGGAUAAGCUCCGGGUAACUCCGUG
This 433-nucleotide ribosomal RNA is filed under the name uncultured bacterium. RNAcentral describes it as "partial 16S ribosomal RNA". It matches the Rfam family "Bacterial small subunit ribosomal RNA", at positions 29 to 507 of the family's 1533-position model. The record is from RNAcentral.